Molecule: long non-coding RNA, 301 nt
Filed under: Ananas comosus (pineapple)
Lineage: Eukaryota; Viridiplantae; Streptophyta; Magnoliopsida; Poales; Bromeliaceae
Description: long non-coding RNA (ACOM_LNC030950)
Source: RNAcentral
CUGGGAAAAGCUGUUUCAAAUUGAAUAUUUAGGCUUAGUUUGGUAUUGAGAUCUAUUUGACGCUGUUAGAUAAAAUGGAGUUAGGAAAAAAAUAUAUAGGGAUAUACUUCUGCAUUCUCCGAUUAGACCGUAGAAAAUAUAUUAUAACUGAUUCAUCACAAUAUACGGAAUACAAUAUUACGUACGGAAAUAAACAAUAUAUUUUUCUAUCGUACUUUUUUAUCAUCGCACGUAACACAACCUCGCCGUAAUCUCAAACAAAGCCUGACUAUAACUAAUCUUACCCCACAACCAAUACAAA